AACGCUAGCGACAGGCCGUAACACAUGCAAGUCAGGGGCAGCACAAGGAGCAAUCUGAGGUGGCGACCGGCGCACGGGUGAGUAACACGUAUGCAACCUGCCUGUAAGCGGGGAAUAACCCGUUGAAAGACGGACUAAUACCGCAUAAUACUAAAUUACUGCAUGGUAAUUUAUUUAAACAUUUAUGGCUUACAGAUGGGCAUGCGCAUGAUUAGCUAGUUGGAGAGGUAACGGCUCCCCAAGGCAACGAUCAUUAGGGGUUCUGAGAGGAAGGUCCCCCACACUGGUACUGAGACACGGACCAGACUCCUACGGGAGGCAGCAGUGAGGAAUAUUGGUCAAUGGACGAGAGUCUGAACCAGCCAAGUCGCGUGCAGGAAGAAUGUCCUAUGGAUUGUAAACUGCUUUUGCAGGGGAAUAAAGUGCAUCACGUGUGAUGUUUUGUAUGUACUCUGCGAAUAAGGAUCGGCUAACUCCGUGCCAGCAGCAGC
Molecule: ribosomal RNA, 491 nt
Filed under: uncultured bacterium
Lineage: Bacteria
Description: bacterial SSU rRNA
Rfam family: Bacterial small subunit ribosomal RNA
Source: RNAcentral